CUGCACUGUUCGUAACCUGGUUCAGUCCUCAGUGUGAACCCUGGGUUCCAUUCCAGUGCCAAAGAGACCCCCAGUGAGGCAGGGGAACUGUGUCCAUCUACACUGACUCCCUGUUCACUCUCUGGGAACACUG
Molecule: small nucleolar RNA, 133 nt
Organism: Thalassophryne amazonica
Lineage: Eukaryota; Metazoa; Chordata; Actinopteri; Batrachoidiformes; Batrachoididae
Source: RefSeq, a predicted model, not a curated record